This 263-nucleotide ribosomal RNA is filed under the name uncultured bacterium. RNAcentral describes it as "partial 16S ribosomal RNA". The record is from RNAcentral.
CUGCUGCCUUCCGUAGGAGUUUGGGCCGUGUCUCAGUCCCAAUGUGGCCGUCCACCCUCUCAGGCCGGCUACUGAUCGUCGCCUUGGUGGGCCGUUACCCCGCCAACAAGCUAAUCAGACGCGGGUCCAUCUUAUACCACCGGAGUUUUUCACACUGGGCCAUGCAGCCCCGUGCGCUUAUGCGGUAUUAGCACCUAUUUCUAAGUGUUAUCCCCCUGUAUAAGGCAGGUUACCCACGCGUUACUCACCGUCCGCCACUAAGA